This is a non-coding RNA of Potamilus streckersoni, 68 nucleotides long. NCBI's taxonomy places the organism in Eukaryota, Metazoa, Mollusca, Bivalvia, Unionida, Unionidae. The record is from the annotation of a GenBank genome assembly.
GGUGGCUAAGUGGUUAGAGAAUCCGCACCGUAAGCGAGAGGUCGCAGGUUCGAAACCUGCCUGAGCCA